UGAUCCUGCCGGAGGUUACUGCUAUCGAGGUUCGACUAAGCCAUGCGAGUCGAAUGUAGCAAUACACGGCGUACUGCUCAGUAACACGUGGACAACCUACCCUUGGGACGGGGAUAAACCCGGGAAACUGGGUAUAAUACCCGAUAGAUCUCGAAUGCUGGAAUGCAUCGAGGUCGAAAGCUCCGGCGCCCAAGGAUGGGUCUGCGGCCUAUCAGGUAGUAGUGGGUGUAGCGUACCUACUAGCCUACGACGGGUACGGGUUGUGAGAGCAAGAGCCCGGAGAUGGAUUCUGAGACACGAAUCCAGGCCCUACGGGGUGCAGCAGGCGCGAAAACUUUACAAUGCUGGAAACAGCGAUAAGGGGACCUCGAGUGCCAGGUUACAAAUCUGGCUGUCGUGAUGCCUAAAAAGCAUUGCAUAGCAAGGGCCGGGCAAGACCGGUGCCAGCCGCCGCGGUAACACCGGCGGCUCGAGUGGUAACCGUUAUUAUUGGGUCUAAAGGGUCUGUAGCCGGCCGGAUAAGUCUCUUGGGAAAUCUGGCAGCUUAACUGUCAGGCUUUCAGGGGAUACUGUCUGGCUCGAGGCCGGGAGAGGUGAGAGGUACUUCAGGGGUAGGGGUGAAAUCUUGUAAUCCUUGAAGGACCACCAGUGGCGAAGGCGUCUCACCAGAACGGACCUGACGGCAAGGGACGAAAGCUAGGGGCACGAACCGGAUUAGAUACCCGGGUAGUCCUAGCCGUAAACGAUACUCGCUAGGUGUCGGCCACGGUGCGACCGUGGUCGGUGCCGUAGGGAAGCCGUGAAGCGAGCCACCUGGGAAGUACGGCCGCAAGGCUGAAACUUAAAGGAA
RNAcentral lists this ribosomal RNA (850 nucleotides) under uncultured Methanosaeta sp. RNAcentral's name for it is "bacterial SSU rRNA". It matches the Rfam family "Archaeal small subunit ribosomal RNA", at positions 9 to 864 of the family's 1478-position model. The record is from RNAcentral. Lineage: Archaea; Methanobacteriati; Methanobacteriota; Methanomicrobia; Methanotrichales; Methanotrichaceae.